Molecule: long non-coding RNA, 752 nt
Organism: Biomphalaria glabrata
Lineage: Eukaryota; Metazoa; Mollusca; Gastropoda; Planorbidae
Exons: 3
Source: RefSeq, a predicted model, not a curated record
CAGAGGUAGAGAUUAGGUAAACAGAGAACUUACUUGGUAAGAGGUAGAGAUUAGGUAAACAGAGAACUCACUUGGUAGGAGGUAGAGAUUAGGUAAACAGAGAACUUACUUGGUAGGAGGUAGAGAUUAGGUAAACAGAGAACUUACUUGGUAAGAGGUAGAGAUUAGGUAAACAGAGAACUUACUUGGUAGGAGGUAGAGAUUAGGUAAACAGAGAAAUUACUUGGUAGGAGGUAGAGAUUAGGUAAACAGAGAACUCACUUGGUAGGAGGUAGAGAUUAGGUAAACAGUGAACUUACUUGGUAAGAGGUAGAGAUUAGGUAAACAGUCAACUCACUUGGUAAGAGGUAGAGAUUAGGUAAACAGAGAACUCACUUGGUAAGAGGUAGAGAUUAGGUAAACAGAGAACUUACUUGGUAAGAGGUAGAGAUUAGGUAAACAGUCAACUCACUUGGUAAGAGGUAGAGAUUAGGUAAACAGAGAACUUACUUGGUAAGAGGUAGAGAUUAGGUAAACAGUCAACUCACUUGGUAGGAGGUAGAGAUUAGGUAAACAGAGAACUUACUUGGUAGGAGGUAGAGAUUAGGUAAACAGUCAACUCACUUGGUAAGAGGUAGAGAUUAGGUAAACAGAGAACUCACUUGGUAAGAGGUAGAGAUUAGGUAAACAGAGAACUCACUUGGUAGGAGGUAGAGAUUAGGUAAACAGUGAACUUACUUGGUAAGAGGUAGAGAUUAGGUAAACAGAGAACU